RNAcentral lists this long non-coding RNA (1580 nucleotides) under Zea mays. RNAcentral describes it as "long non-coding RNA (ZMAY_LNC005067)". The record is from RNAcentral. Lineage: Eukaryota; Viridiplantae; Streptophyta; Magnoliopsida; Poales; Poaceae.
GGGCCUUAGCUCACUUCCCUCCCCGAUCCAUAUAGUUGAAAGGGAAUAGUUUUUACAAACUACUCAUGAGAGUCAUGGACUCAUGGUACAACACAUCUCCUUCAGAAUUAGUAUGUUGCAAGUGCUAAAAGACCAUACAGGCUCUCCACACCUCAGUUUCAAAUAGCUCCAGUAAUAUGGCAGAAUCUUCACUUCGCCAAAUCGACAGGAUUAGAUGCAAUCCCACAACAUUGAGGCCACACAUGACACAUCGAUAUUUUUCAAUCAGAAGUUGAUUGUUGUUGGUGCAAUUCAUUUGCCUCUUAUUACAUUACAAAUGGAACAUAGAGUUCAAGCAUUUCGAUUAAGGAAACGAGAAAGAGGGGUCUAAAUUUUUCAUUCAAAAGCAUAACAGAACUGGCUAGCCAAACAUGCGUUUCUGACAACUCCUUCACCUGCAGGGGGAAUGUAAGCAUUAGGAUUUCACAAAACUGUAGGGACAUGUGUGGGGUCCCAAAUGCACAAGGGGCCACUAUGAGCAAGUGAGAAGUCUUAAACAGUGGGCACAGACGAUGUGGAGUGUGGCUUUUAGCAGUGAUAACUGAAAAACAUAGGUGAUCCUCCCAGCACUACUAGAAUCUGCAAGUUUACCCACAACUUGAGUUCCCCUACUUCCUAGGGAGCAAGCAAAAGACAGUGAGUAAACAGCAAGCAAAAGACAAUGGGGAAGAUGUUUCCCUGCAGAUUUUAAUUUCCUACCGGGAACAUUUUGAUAGGAAAGGAAAAAUGACCUUCCAUUUUUUCAGGAAAACUGUAGGGAAUGAUGCUUUACGUAGGUUUCUAAUGCUACUUAUGGCAUGGAAAGGUUUAAGGACUAAAGCAGUGAUGCCUCUGUGUGUGUUGUGUCUGUGAGCGCAGGUGUUGUUUCUGUUGGUCGCUUGGCCAGCGACCGUGCAGGUGGUGCCAGAGCUGCUUGGGGUCAUGGAAUUGGUCAGCGAGGCGGGGGCGAGAGGAUCCCUGGGAUGCGCCUUCCAUCGACCGAGCGUCGACGCGGGGCGAGAAUGGCGGAGCGACCAAGAGUGGAUUUCCCUUGCUGGUUUUAGAGCUCAGCUACCUAUGUUAAGUAAAAAAAAGGAAACCCAACGAUCGUCAAUCUCGUCAUGUCUCUGCCGCACCUCAGUCUCCGCCGCACAGAUCGGCAUGCCACACGUGCGCCCUGGACUGCAGCCCCUGCACCUCCCUCCAUCGCCCUCGUCAAUCCCGUCAUGGAAGGCCCGUCCUCGCCUCCCCGCGCGCGGCGCCUCCCUGGAUCUUCCCCACCAUCCUCGCCUCUCGGCGCGUGGGGAUUCCCUGGAUCUUCCUCACCUCCCGUCAACAAAACAAAAGGAAACACAACGGCCUCUUACCAUCUUUUUCCUCGCCUCCCGUUCCUCCUCCUACCUUGUACGGCGACUCCAAACAGCAAAAGUGAGGAGGAAGAUAGUGGCACUGCAGCGCUCGUGGAAGAAGAAGCGGUGAAGCAGGCAGAGGGGUUCGAGGCUGUGGAGGCAAGGGCAAAGAACGUCGACAAGUUUGAUCUCAGCUACCUUGACAACCAAGUC